AGGGUUUGAUCAUGGCUCAGGACGAACGCUGGCGGCGUGCUUAACACAUGCAAGUCGAACGAGAAUCUAAUGACGGAGUUUUCGGACAACUGAUUUAGAGGACAGUGGCGGACUGGUGAGUAACGCGUGAGGAACCUGCCUUUCAGAGGGGGACAACAGUUGGAAACGACUGCUAAUACCGCAUGAUGUGUAACUGGGACAUCCCGGAUACACCAAAGAUUUAUCGCUGAAAGAUGGCCUCGCGUCUGAUUAGCUAGUUGGUGAGGUAACGGCCCACCAAGGCGACGAUCAGUAGCCGGACUGAGAGGUUGACCGGCCACAUUGGGACUGAGAUACGGCCCAG
This 343-nucleotide ribosomal RNA is filed under the name uncultured bacterium. Its description in RNAcentral is "bacterial SSU rRNA". It matches the Rfam family "Bacterial small subunit ribosomal RNA", at positions 8 to 334 of the family's 1533-position model. The record is from RNAcentral.